GAUGAAGAACGUAGCGAAAUGCAAUAAGUAAUGUGAAUUGCAGAAUUCAGUGAAUCAUCGAAUCUUUGAACGCACAUUGCGCCCGCCAGUAUUCUGGCGGGCAUGCCUGUUCGAGCGUCAUUUCAACCAUCAAGCCCCCGGCUUGUGUUGGGGACCUGCGGCUGCCGCAGGCCCUGAAAAGCAGUGGCGGGCUCGCUGUCACACCGAGCGUAGUAGCAUACAUCUCGCUCUGGGCGUGCUGCGGGUUCCGGCCGUUAAACCACCUUCAUAACCCAAGGUUGACCUCGGAUCAGGUAGGAAGACCCGCUGAACUUAAGCAUAUCAAUAAGCGGAGGA
Molecule: unclassified non-coding RNA, 336 nt
Filed under: soil metagenome
Description: partial contains 5.8S ribosomal RNA, internal transcribed spacer 2, and large subunit ribosomal RNA
Rfam family: 5.8S ribosomal RNA (bases 1-120)
Source: RNAcentral